GUCUGGAUAGCUCAGUUGGUUAGAGCAUGGGGCUGAUAAAGCCAAGGUUGCAGGUUCAAUCCUUGUAUGGGGCA
RNAcentral lists this transfer RNA (74 nucleotides) under Podarcis lilfordi (Lilford's wall lizard). It matches the Rfam family "tRNA". Rfam says of the family: Transfer RNA (tRNA) molecules are approximately 80 nucleotides in length. Their secondary structure includes four short double-helical elements and three loops (D, anti-codon, and T loops). The record is from Rfam by way of RNAcentral. Lineage: Eukaryota; Metazoa; Chordata; Lepidosauria; Squamata; Lacertidae.